UUUAUUGUUUGAUAUGAAUAAAAUGGGGGUUCGAUUCCGGAGAGGGAGUAUGCGAAACGGCUACCACAUCCAAGGAAGGCAGCAGGCGCGCAAAUUGCCCACUCCCGGCACAGGGAAGUA
Octopus sinensis (East Asian common octopus) is the source of this 120-nucleotide long non-coding RNA. RefSeq lists it as uncharacterized. Lineage: Eukaryota; Metazoa; Mollusca; Cephalopoda; Octopoda; Octopodidae. The transcript has 4 exons. The record is from RefSeq and is a predicted model, not a curated record.